This 376-nucleotide ribosomal RNA is filed under the name uncultured Erwinia sp. RNAcentral describes it as "bacterial SSU rRNA". It matches the Rfam family "Bacterial small subunit ribosomal RNA", at positions 1008 to 1383 of the family's 1533-position model. Lineage: Bacteria; Pseudomonadati; Pseudomonadota; Gammaproteobacteria; Enterobacterales; Erwiniaceae. The record is from RNAcentral.
GCCUUAGUGCCUUCGGGAACCGUGAGACAGGUGCUGCAUGGCUGUCGUCAGCUCGUGUUGUGAAAUGUUGGGUUAAGUCCCGCAACGAGCGCAACCCUUAUCCUUUGUUGCCAGCGAGUAAUGUCGGGAACUCAAAGGAGACUGCCGGUGAUAAACCGGAGGAAGGUGGGGAUGACGUCAAGUCAUCAUGGCCCUUACGGCCAGGGCUACACACGUGCUACAAUGGCGCAUACAAAGAGAAGCGACCUCGCGAGAGCAAGCGGACCUCAUAAAGUGCGUCGUAGUCCGGAUCGGAGUCUGCAACUCGACUCCGUGAAGUCGGAAUCGCUAGUAAUCGUAGAUCAGAAUGCUACGGUGAAUACGUUCCCGGGCCUUG